RNAcentral lists this ribosomal RNA (444 nucleotides) under uncultured bacterium. RNAcentral's name for it is "SSU rRNA". It matches the Rfam family "Bacterial small subunit ribosomal RNA", at positions 26 to 518 of the family's 1533-position model. The record is from RNAcentral.
AGAGCGAACGCUGGCGGCAGGCCUAACACAUGCAAGUCGAACGCGCCCUUCGGGGUGAGUGGCGGACGGGUGAGUAACACGUGGGAACGUGCCUUUUGGUUCGGAAUAACUCAGGGAAACUUGUGCUAAUACCGAAUGUGCCCUUCGGGGGAAAGAUUUAUCGCCAAAAGAGCGGCCCGCGUCUGAUUAGCUAGUUGGUGGGUAAAGGCCCACCAAGGCUACGAUCAGUAGCUGGUCUGAGAGGAUGAUCAGCCACAUUGGGACUGAGACACGGCCCAAACUCCUACGGGAGGCAGCAGUGGGGAAUCUUGCGCAAUGGGCGAAAGCCUGACGCAGCCAUGCCGCGUGGAUGAUGAAGGUCUUCGGAUUGUAAAGCCCUUUGACAGGGACGAUGAUGACGGUACCCGUAGAAGAAGCCCCGGCUAACUUCGUGCCAGCAGCCGC